ACAAGGAUUCCUCUAGUAACGGCGAGCGAACGAGGAAAAGCCCAGCACCGAAUCCUGUACCGUUCUGGUACUAGGAAAUGUGGUGUUUAGGCCGUGCUUUGUGCCGGUAUGAUUCUCCUCAAGUCCACUUGAUUGUGGCUUCAGGCCCAGAGAGGGUGUAAGGCCCGUGGAGGCGAGUUGUCCGGUGCCCGGCACGUCCUUAGAGUCGGGUUGUUUGGGAAUGCAGCCCAAAGCGGGUGGUAAACUCCAUCCAAGGCUAAAUACUAGCACGAGUCCGAUAGCGAAGAAGUACCGCGAGGGAAAGUUGAAAAGAACUUUGAAGAGAGAGUUCAAGAGUACGUGAAACCGCUGAGAGGCAAACUGGUGGAGCUCAAAUGGUCUUGCGGAAUUCAGCCCUUCCUACUAGAGAUGGUGUCAGUUGUGAGAUCUCACGACUCCUCUGGCGCUAAUUCUUCGUGAAGGAUAGGUGCACUUUCUUCUUGACCGGACCACGACCAGCGACCUGUCUUGUCUGACGUAGUUGGAAGGUAGCGUUCACUUCGGUGAACGUGUUAUAGCCAUCUAUUUGGAGUGAGCAGGGCGUUGGAUACUAAAGACGCUUGCCCUUCGGGCUCGUACGUUGUCUCUUUCCAAUGUGUCGCCGGCUUCACUGCCUUUGGCAGGGGUGUUGGAGACGCGUUAGUUAGCGGCGGCCUCUGCGAUUGGCGUCGAAAGUCUGUGGUUAUGAAGUAGGCAGUCCACCUGACCCGUCUUGAAACACGGACCAAGGAGUCUAACAUGUGCGCGAGUCAUUGGGUUCUACGAAACCUAAAGGCGCAGUGAAAGUGAAGAUCCAUUUUGAUGGAUUGAGGUGGGAUCCUGAGUCACGUGCUCGGGCGCACUACCGGCCCGUUCGACAUAUUUUUAUGCGGGCGGAGCAAGAGCGUACACGUUGGGACCCGAAAGAUGGUGAACUAUGCUUGCGCAGGUCGAAGCCAGAGGAAACUCUGGUGGAGGACCGUAGCGAUU
RNAcentral lists this ribosomal RNA (1008 nucleotides) under Phaenoplana kopepe. RNAcentral's name for it is "partial 28S ribosomal RNA". It matches the Rfam family "Eukaryotic large subunit ribosomal RNA", at positions 68 to 885 of the family's 3401-position model. Lineage: Eukaryota; Metazoa; Platyhelminthes; Polycladida; Stylochoplanidae. The record is from RNAcentral.